RNAcentral lists this unclassified non-coding RNA (419 nucleotides) under Erythranthe dentata. RNAcentral describes it as "partial external transcribed spacer". Lineage: Eukaryota; Viridiplantae; Streptophyta; Magnoliopsida; Lamiales; Phrymaceae. The record is from RNAcentral.
GCGUACGGGCUUGUCGGAUCCCUGCUCGGGCAGCGACGGCAGCUUGUGCGCGCCUUUUCAAUCGUCGGUUCAAGUGCGCCUUGAUCGAUGUCGGUUUCCUGUGUUGCAUACCUAUCUUGGAGGUAUUAUGUCGGUUAAAAGUGCCCGUUUCGUCUUGCGCUGCAUCCUUUUCAAGGCUGCGGCGUGGGAUGGACCAUGAAGAUCCGUCGUGUUCCACAUCCCAGACGUAAUUGUCCUCGGGUUGUUGGCGCACGGCGGCAUGCUCGAUCUCUCUGAUGCGGAAAAUUGAGUGGGUACGAGGCGUUUGUUCUCUAUUUACCCCAGAAAAAGGCGUUUCACGCUCCAAGCGAACGACGGCCGUCGCCGUUGUGAUCGAGUCUUUGUGGCUUGCAUCAUGCGGUGUCGGUGUCNGUAAGGAA